Long non-coding RNA from Tigriopus californicus, 1685 nucleotides. RefSeq lists it as uncharacterized. The transcript has 3 exons. Lineage: Eukaryota; Metazoa; Arthropoda; Copepoda; Harpacticoida; Harpacticidae. The record is from RefSeq and is a predicted model, not a curated record.
UCCCGGCAAGAAAUUGGCUCAUUCCACGAGAAGUACGCGUGAAACAGUUGUUUCCAAAAGGCUGGAUAAUAGAGCAAUAUUUCGUGACAUUUCCACGAGAUCCCAAGAAAGCUCACAUGAGGCUAGAAAGGUCACAAGUGAUUACAUGCGAAACUCUGCUUCAAAGUGCAUUCUGCGCUGAAGGCUGCAAUUUUGGACUAAUUUUGGAGAUGUAUUGAACGAUGGCCAACAUGCACGAGUAUGUAUAAUUACCGAAUAUGGGCCAAGCCGUUAAAUGAGUUCUUCGAGCAAAUGAUUUCUCGUCAAGUGAUAUCAUCUCAACACUUACUUGACCUGGGAAAGAAAUUGAGAGGAUCCGAGCUCCCCGGUAUGUGGUUGGGUGGGGUUAUGGAGCGGUCGUCGGCACAUAAUGGCGUUAUUGUCUGGGCCGAUUGAUAAAUCCAAGCAAUUUUGGCAAUUUGUCAAGAUAUUCACUUAAGGCUUCAGAGGAGAAGAAGUCUGGGCCAAUUUUCCCACCGGGGUUCUUUUUCUGGUGGAGGAUGGCUGAGAACCCCAUGAUCUAAUUAGACACUCUGAGACUUUGUUGUUUGAGUGGGAAAUACCAAUAUUCGACACUUAGACUGAUUAUCCAAACCAAAGCUGAGCCAAGCAUCCCGCAACCAUCCUCAGGAGAGGAAGAUGUGCUACCCAGAAAAGUGGAAUGGAUUCCACGCUCCCAAUUCAGUUGCCAAUGAACUCAAAUCAGGGAAGUUAAACGCUGGCGAUGGUUUCGAGUGGUCGUUUUUUAGGUGUGUUUGGUAGCUCUUUCUAACUUGGUUGCUUUCAUGCUGUGAUGCCACUCAGAAAUGGAACCACUUCAACCAAUUCAAAGCCUCAGACUCAAGACUUGCACUAGUUUUCAUGCAGCAUUUAAUGGUAUGACUUGUCAUUUCUAGACAAGAAAACUGUGUGAAGCCAAUGAAAAAAACCUAUUUAGAACAACCAACUCACUCACUUUUGUGAACUAUUGCUCAUCCGAUUGGCUACUAGGCACUUUUUAAAAUGCUCAGGGAACAAUCAAUAUUUUUUAUGAACGUUUUCAUGGUGUACCAAACUAGCAGAACACACAACCAUGCAUAUAAACUGACAACACUAAUCGGGGUUCUUUUUUCGCAGUGGAUGAUGGACCGAUUUAGCAUGACCUACAGUUCUGACAGAUCCAAACUCUUUCUAUUCACAUUUAACUCAAAUAGACAAAUGAUCCAGACCUUUUCUCCUCCGAUCCCCUGCAUUAUGCUCACCUACCUGCGGCAGUACCGUACGUAGUCCGGUAGUCAUUACGUACCACAUACAUACACACAUGUAGUGUAAGUACAUUGCUCGGAAUCCCUGAAGGAGCCAAAGCCAGUCAAAAGUGUCUGGAAACGUCAGACAAUUAAUUUGACAUUCAAUCCUGGAUUUGAAUUCAAUUCAGUCACACUCUGUCAGGCAUCAAAGCAUAUCAGAUCACCAAGCUCUCCAAAGUGAACGUAUUCAAAUACUGAUACUGGCAUGAGUUCUGAGCUCUCGGUUCAAAAGCCUUCCAAUUUGGCAAUGUUUUAUGACUGGCAAACCGAUCCAAUCAGUCGAUGUUGUUGUGCAUGCUCGCGGUUUUGAGCCAAUGAUUUCUGCGGGUUGGAUGUCAGAAUUCCGACUUUGCGUAUAUG